CAUAAACUUUAGGGGUGUUCCGCCGCGCGGGACUGAGAAAUACCCUUGGAACCUGAUCCAGGUAAUGCUGGCGAAGGGAAAAGUGAGAAGCGAGAG
Molecule: non-coding RNA, 96 nt
Filed under: Hymenobacter crusticola
Lineage: Bacteria; Pseudomonadati; Bacteroidota; Cytophagia; Cytophagales; Hymenobacteraceae
Also listed under: 1 other name
Description: Hymenobacter sp. MIMBbqt21 TPP riboswitch aptamer (THI element)
Rfam family: TPP riboswitch aptamer (THI element)
About the family: Vitamin B(1) in its active form thiamin pyrophosphate (TPP) is an essential coenzyme that is synthesised by coupling of pyrimidine and thiazole moieties in bacteria. The previously detected thiamin-regulatory element, thi box was extended, resulting in a new, highly conserved RNA secondary structure, the THI element, which is widely distributed in eubacteria and also occurs in some archaea. Analysis of operon structures identified a large number of new candidate thiamin-regulated genes, mostly transporters, in various prokaryotic organisms.
Source: Rfam by way of RNAcentral